RNAcentral lists this ribosomal RNA (253 nucleotides) under uncultured bacterium. RNAcentral describes it as "partial 16S ribosomal RNA". It matches the Rfam family "Bacterial small subunit ribosomal RNA", at positions 524 to 776 of the family's 1533-position model. The record is from RNAcentral.
UACGUAGGGGGCAAGCGUUGUCCGGAUUUAUUGGGCGUAAAGAGCGUGUAGGCGGCUUUACAGGUCCGUUGUGAAAACUCGAGGCUCAACCUCGAGACGCCGGUGGAAACCGUAAGGCUAGAGUCCGGAAGAGGAGAGUGGAAUUCCUGGUGUAGCGGUGAAAUGCGCAGAUAUCAGAAAGAACACCCGUGGCGAAGGCGGCUCUCUGGAACGCAACUGACGCUGAGACGCGAAAGCGUGGGGAGCAAACAGG